This is a non-coding RNA of Drosophila takahashii, 332 nucleotides long. Lineage: Eukaryota; Metazoa; Arthropoda; Insecta; Diptera; Drosophilidae. The record is from RefSeq and is a predicted model, not a curated record.
CUUGGCGGCGAAAGACGUGUUUGUGAAACCUUUUGUUAGUGAAGAAGUGAAAAAUGUAAACGCUAUUAAAGGACUUGGGAGGCGAUUCUUUCUCUGUUUUCUGGAAAAUGCAGCUGAAACUUUAAAAAAUUUGAGUGGAAGCAGCUACGAGGAGAAAUUCCUGUUCAACUAGUCGGUCCAGAAGCGGAAGUUUUGGAAGUGUGGCAGAACAAAAUCGAGAACGCUUUUCAGAUCCAGCUUUCGCAAACCACUUUUCGGACUUAUUAAAAGCAGGAGUAAGGAAGCAACAGGAAAUAAACCUGCUCAAAUUUUUGGAAAGCUCUGAAGGUAAG